CUUGGUCAUUUAGAGGAAGUAAAAGUCGUAACAAGGUCUCCGUAGGUGAACCUGCGGAGGGAUCAUUACACAAAUAUGAAGGCGGGCUGGAACCUCUCGGGGUUACAGCCUUGCUGAAUUAUUCACCCUUGUCUUUUGCGUACUUCUUGUUUCCUUGGUGGGUUCGCCCACCACUAGGACAAACAUAAACCUUUUGUAAUUGCAAUCAGCGUCAGUAACAAAUUAAUAAUUACAACUUUCAACAACGGAUCUCUUGGUUCUGGCAUCGAUGAAGAACGCAGCGAAAUGCGAUAAGUAGUGUGAAUUGCAGAAUUCAGUGAAUCAUCGAAUCUUUGAACGCACAUUGCGCCCCUUGGUAUUCCAUGGGGCAUGCCUGUUCGAGCGUCAUUUGUACCUUCAAGCUUUGCUUGGUGUUGGGCGUUUUGUCUUUUCUUUUGUGAUUAGACUCGCCUUAAAGUAAUUGGCAGCCAGUGUUUUUGGUAGUAAGCGCAGCACAUUUUGCGUCUUAGUCCCUAGACAGCGGCAUCCAUAUAGCCUCUUUCUCACUUUUGACCUCGGAUCAGGUAGGGAUACCCGCUGAACUUAAGCAUAUCAAUAAGCGGAGGA
RNAcentral lists this ribosomal RNA (606 nucleotides) under uncultured fungus. RNAcentral's name for it is "eukaryotic LSU rRNA". The stretch from base 234 to 387 matches the Rfam family "5.8S ribosomal RNA". The record is from RNAcentral. Lineage: Eukaryota; Fungi.